GACUGGGUGGUUUAGUGGUAAAAUUAGUCGUUGCCACUUGCGCGACAUUCGACUAGCCCCGGGUUCGAUUCCCGGUCCAGUCA
The sequence is a transfer RNA, 83 nucleotides long. It matches the Rfam family "tRNA". Rfam says of the family: Transfer RNA (tRNA) molecules are approximately 80 nucleotides in length. Their secondary structure includes four short double-helical elements and three loops (D, anti-codon, and T loops). The record is from Rfam.